CCCUGCCCAGGGACACGUGCAGCCCAGAGGCUCAGUGCAUUUGCCACGUUCAGAGCCCCUCACUCAGGCUAUUUUUCACAUGAUUUUUGUCUCUGGUGACACCAGCGGUCAAAUUUCUACUGACUUCCCACUGGGCCUACUUUUCCCUUUAAAUCUUUCCGAUUUCCCCAGACCAAGGCUUCACAGGUGAUGCUCUCAAACUGAUCAUCCAUCCUGCAACUAACUAAGGAUGUGCUCGCAUGGUCAUGAGAGAUGGAAUAUGUGUGCUUUAAGAAGGACCCCUGUGGCAAGAGGAAGAAACCUCAAAAGUCAUAGCAUUUUUGGAGAACUCCUGCAUGUUGAGUGGUUGUCUUGGAUGAAGGUGUCCAAAAUGAGGGGGUGCUGUGGUAAUUUAAACUCUCCUGAGCUGUGUUUUCCUGCUGUCCUCCAGCACUUCACAAUUCCUCCAGAAGUUCUCAUCCUCUUCUGUCUGAUGCAAGGGUCUCUCCCAAGCUGUGGUUGCCAUCACUUUAAAAAAGCAGAGCCACUCCAAGGAGUUGCUCAGAAAUAAGAAAAUCUCUCAGUGCUGGACCCUGGCUCACAGAUUAUUCAGGUAAUUUCUUUUUUUUAGCUGGUAUCCUCCCUUCACCUGCAGAGGUGUGAAUUCAUCCCACAUGAUUGUGUUGCUGUGGCUUUGGUUUAGGGUUUUCCAAGCAGUGCUUCACUCUCCAUCUUGUUGCACUCUUAAGCAGUUACCCCCAUGCCCUGUGUCUUUCCCACUCCACAAAAGAGGCCAUCCAGCUGAAGUCACAGUUGCUUGUUUUUAACCAUUCCUUUGAGAUGAGUGCUGAGCUGGAUGUAGAGCUCACCUUCACUAAAGCUCCUGAUCCAUUGACUAAGUGCUUUAUGUCAAAAAAGAGACUUACUGGUAGAAAUCCUGGCUAGCACAGGGAGAAAGCAGAGAGCAGCACCAGGAGAUACCUAGACAGGAGGGUUAAACCCCACGCACACUUUGCCUAGUACCAAAGCCAACUCUAUCCAGGGGCAAGAAAUCCAGAUACGCUUGGCUGGGAUGAGAAAGCCACC
Molecule: long non-coding RNA, 1065 nt
Filed under: Struthio camelus australis
Lineage: Eukaryota; Metazoa; Chordata; Aves; Struthioniformes; Struthionidae
Description: lncRNA (ENSSCUG00000015840.1)
Source: RNAcentral